Molecule: long non-coding RNA, 355 nt
Organism: Pieris rapae (cabbage white)
Lineage: Eukaryota; Metazoa; Arthropoda; Insecta; Lepidoptera; Pieridae
Exons: 4
Source: RefSeq, a predicted model, not a curated record
CGCUCUACGUGCAAUAGAGUUCUUUGUGAGAGUCUAGAUAAAGCUGUCUAUUAUAUGCGCUAGGUUUUAUAUUGCACUUAUAUGUAUUGUGCAACUACUUGCUUAGGUCUUACCAGAAGGUAAGGAAAGGAAUUACAAUGCCUGUUGGACCAAUAAUUGUUGUGAGUAUAGAGGAACACGAACGUCCUGGACACUACUAUAAGGCAGAUAACAGUUCCUCGGCUUCAACCUAAUAUUAAGGAUUUAAAUGUACGAUUGGAUAAGCGUAACAGUAAAUAUUCGAUUGGUCUAUUUCCGGUUGUGAAAAUGGCUGCUGACAGUUUUCGAAAGAAAAGGGAUGCUAGAUUAAAAGCAA